Molecule: ribosomal RNA, 467 nt
Filed under: uncultured bacterium
Lineage: Bacteria
Description: partial 16S ribosomal RNA
Rfam family: Bacterial small subunit ribosomal RNA
Source: RNAcentral
GGUUAAUGCUAGCGGUGCGCCUAACACAUGCAAGUCGAGCGGCUGCGCGAGUAGUUUACUACUUGGCGGCGAGCGGCGGACGGCUGAGUAACGCGUGGGAACGUGCCCCAAAGUGAGGGAUAACGCACCGAAAGGUGUGCUAAUACCGCAUAUGAUCUUCGGAUUAAAGAAUUUAUUCGCUUUGGGAGCGGCCCGCGUCGGAUUAGGUAGUUGGUAGGGUAAUGGCCUACCAAGCCGACGAUCCGUAGCUGGUCUGAGAGGAUGACCAGCCAGACUGGAACUGAGACACGGUCCAGACUCCUACGGGAGGCAGCAGUGAGGAAUCUUCCACAAUGGGCGAAAGCCUGAUGGAGCAACGCCGCGUGCAGGAUGAAGGCCUCCGGGUUGUAAACUGCUUUUAUAAGUGAAGAAUAUGACGGUAACUUAUGAAUAAGCACCGGCUAACUACGUGCCAGCAGCCGCGGUAA